GUGCUUGCUUCAGCAGCACAUAUACUAAAAUUGGAACAACACAGAGAAGAUUAGCAUGGCCACUGCACAAAGAUGACAUGCAAAUCUGAAAGCAUUCCAUGUUUUUU
This 107-nucleotide small nuclear RNA is filed under the name Mustela putorius furo (domestic ferret). Lineage: Eukaryota; Metazoa; Chordata; Mammalia; Carnivora; Mustelidae. The record is from RNAcentral.